Pelobates cultripes (western spadefoot toad) is the source of this 216-nucleotide non-coding RNA. NCBI's taxonomy places the organism in Eukaryota, Metazoa, Chordata, Amphibia, Anura, Pelobatidae. The record is from the annotation of a GenBank genome assembly.
AUUUUUCCAAUUUGACUAUUCUGGUCUGAGUUCUACCAUUCAGUUGUUAAACCGUUAAGUGAAUCCUCCGUGCCCCUUUAACAAAGUCACCCGAUCGACAGAUUUUAUUACAUUUUAUGUGCAGACAGAAGGCUUGUACAAUACUUUUCAUUAUUCCAGCUUUGGGCUUCUUAGCUGGGCCUUAGUUAGGCGAGAGCUCUCCCCUGUGACGGAAAA